AAACCGGAUGCCGAAAAGGUUAUAGAGUAGGCG
This 33-nucleotide non-coding RNA is filed under the name unclassified sequences. Its description in RNAcentral is "DUF805b RNA". It matches the Rfam family "DUF805b RNA". From Rfam's summary of the family: Bacteroidetes, Chlorobi (1 example), Proteobacteria. Lineage (Flavobacteria) The record is from RNAcentral.